This 301-nucleotide ribosomal RNA is filed under the name uncultured bacterium. Its description in RNAcentral is "partial 16S ribosomal RNA". It matches the Rfam family "Bacterial small subunit ribosomal RNA", at positions 509 to 807 of the family's 1533-position model. The record is from RNAcentral.
CAGCAGCCACGGUAAUACGAAGGGGGCUAGCGUUGUUCGGAUUUACUGGGCGUAAAGCGCACGUAGGCGGACUUUUAAGUCAGGGGUGAAAUCCCGGGGCUCAACCCCGGAACUGCCUUUGAUACUGGAAGUCUUGAGUAUGGUAGAGGUGAGUGGAAUUCCGAGUGUAGAGGUGAAAUUCGUAGAUAUUCGGAGGAACACCAGUGGCGAAGGCGGCUCACUGGACCAUUACUGACGCUGAGGUGCGAAAGCGUGGGGAGCAAACAGGAUUAGAUACCCCCGUAGUCCCUGUCUCUUAUAC